UAGGCGGUGUUCGCCUUUUGCUACAUCGCUGAAUGUGGCCGUAGGUGUGCAGCUUGCUCCUUGGCUAAUAUGUGUCGACGGGCGAUAGUAUGAGCGCUUCAUCGCAUACGUUACGGCAAUGCUAGGAAUUGGUGCCGUAGAUUUUAUUUGUUGAUAAUCGCCGGGACAUUUUGUGCAGUGCAUGUGCGGAGAGGUCUUCAGUGUGAAGACCCGACUUCGGCAUGUCAUUACAAGAAGCAUAUGAGUCUAGAGAAAGGUCGAAUGAAGGAAAAGCGCCAAGCACGCACAUCACUCAUGCUUCUUCUGCAGGGGACCAAUCAUUACGCACCUACAGUUCUAUUGAAGGCCUUGGAAAUGGUACCACAGCAUCAAAUCAUAAGGUGUUUGAGCCGUCUGACCAGGCGUACUUUCAACAAAAGAUUGAGGUUCCAUACACAGGAGAGACAUCCUUCAGCUGGCGCAAGCUGUGGGCCUUUACAGGUCCAGGUUUCCUGAUGAGCAUUGCAUACCUGGACCCUGGCAACAUUGAGUCAGACCUGCAGUCUGGUGCUCUGGCUGAGUACAAGCUCAUGUGGGUGUUGCUGUCGGCUACUCUGCUGGGCCUGAUGAUGCAGCGUCUGAGUGCUCGGCUUGGCGUUGUGACAGGCCUGCACUUGGCAGAAAUGUGCCGGCGUGGCUAUCCUCGUUUUCCUCGUAUUCUUCUAUGGAUCAUGAUUGAAGUGGCUGUUGUUGGCUCAGACAUGCAAGAGGUCAUCGGCACAGCCAUUGCCAUUUUCCUACUUUCUGGGGGACGGGUUCCACUGUACGCAGGUGUCCUGAUCACAAUAAUAGACACGUUUACAUUCCUGCUGCUGGACAAGUAUGGUCUACGCAAACUUGAAGCUUUCUUCGGCUUCCUCAUUCUCGUCAUGGCACUCACUUUUGGAUACGAGUAUGUGCGGGUGGCCCCGGACCAAGUGAGGGUGGUGGAGGGCCUAUUUGUCCCCUGGUGCUCACAUUGCGACAGCCGGGCCCUAUUGCAGGCAGUAGGCAUUGUGGGUGCAGUCAUCAUGCCACACAAUUUGUACCUCCACUCUGCACUUGUUAAGUCCCGGGCUGUAGACCGUACCGACAAGGUCCAAGUGCGGGAAGCCAACAAGUACUUCUUUAUUGAGGCCUGCAUAGCUCUCCUUGUUUCCUUCAUCAUCAAUAUCUUCGUCAUGGGUGUCUUUGCUCAUGGACUCUAUGGCCGCACGAAUCUCGACAUUAGGAAUCAGUGUAUGGGAACUGAGUUCCAGCACGUCUUUCAUAACAACACAGAUCCUGUGGAUGUGGACAUAUACAAGGGUGGUGUCUACCUGGGCUGUGCAUUUGGCAUGUUCCCACUGUACGUCUGGGCCAUCGGAAUUCUAGCUGCUGGACAGAGCUCCACAAUGACCGGAACUUACUCAGGCCAAUUCAUCAUGGAGGGAUUCCUAAACCUGCCCAUCAGCCGGUGGUUGCGAGUGCUGAUCACGCGGCUAAUCGCCAUCGCGCCCACCAUCUUGUGCGCGGUCUUUGGCAACAUAGAGCAGCUUUCUGGGAUGAAUGACCUGCUCAAUGCGCUCAUGAGCCUGCAACUUCCCUUCGCUCUCAUCCCCACCCUGACCUUCACGACGUCAGCGGCAUUCAUGGGCGAGUUCAGAAACGGAACGUUGACCAAAAUAGGUGCCAGUCUGCUGUCGAUGGUUGUGAUUAGCAUCAACUUGUACUUUGUGAGCAACUUUGUGCACGAGAAUCUUCCAUCUCACUGGGCUGUGUACGUUGGAGUGGCACUUUUCGGGCUCCUGUACUUGGGCUUCAAUCUAUACCUGUUGGCCCACCUUUUGGUUGUGUUUGGCUGCACGUUACUGCUUCAACUUCCUUUCGUUGGCCCGCAUCUCAAAGAGCGCAGUGACCGGGUGCUGUUUAGUGACUCAUCUCAGACGGACAUGUCGUCAUCUCCUGUGUAUAUUACAGAAAGAAAAUCCGUUGGUUACUGAGAAAAACUGCUCGAGUUGAAAAUGGGUGAACUCGUACCAGUUAGUACCCACUUCUGAGUGAUUGCAUCCUCCAUCGACAUGUCCACAACUGAACGAAUUGGGUUGUUGAACUUGCAAUUGAAGAGCGUUGGCGUUUCUGUGAAUGCGACGUUGUACAUAGUGAUUUAGUACUGUCCCUUUCUGUGUGCUGCCGCUGGAAUCUGUCCGCACAAUUUUAUCGACGUAACUCGAAUAAUGCACAAGAGAAUAUUUAUUAAUGGCAGUGUUUCUCCAUAAUUAUGGAAACACUGUGGACAGUUAAUAAACAGAUGUGCUCUUAUAAUAUUACUACGGCAUGAGCUAG
RNAcentral lists this unclassified non-coding RNA (2343 nucleotides) under Rhipicephalus microplus (southern cattle tick). RNAcentral describes it as "natural resistance-associated macrophage protein 2- like, transcript variant X7". The record is from RNAcentral. Lineage: Eukaryota; Metazoa; Arthropoda; Arachnida; Ixodida; Ixodidae.